ACAAGGUCAGGUGUUGAGAUCAACAAAGUCAGGCGUUGACUUACUUUGUUACUUAAUUACUGGUGAGAGCGUGUAGGGUGAAAGCUGAUAAUUUUAUUGGCUUUCAAGAGCUAUCUUUGUUUAUAGGUCACUGCCUGGAAUCGAACUCAGAAUCAUGGGAAAAAAUACUUUAGGAAUGAGGACUCAUGUUCGAAAUUUCCCCAAGACACCUGAUGAAGGCUGGGUGGUAUAUCAACCGAAACGCUGUGUUAACAACAAACAAGAUGGGGACAAAUAUCCGUCAAAUGUUAAUAAUAUAAAUAACGUACAUAAUUCCUCAUCUCUUAAAUAUAGAACCAUUAACCAUUCUUCGCCUUCUUAACUCCUUUUUACUUUAUAGAUUUUUCCGGUGUAUUACUCAUCUUGCAUGAUUUUAUUAAAAGGAUGUAAUCCCUUGACUUCAUAUAUACAUAUGCAAAAUAACCUCAAACUAAAAUAAAGUCAGCUUGGCAAUCUACUACUUAAAAAUACUACCCUGCUCUUAUUCUUUUUCAUACACACCCGUUCAAUCUUUUUCCAAACUCCUCUAAACUCUUACUACCCACUUCCCUUUUAGCCUCGCCAUCUUCCCCACUUUCAACUACCUUUGUAUUUCUCCUCCUAGCGAAAAGUACAUUGCACUACCCCUACUCCUCUGAAAACUAACCAAUCUACAUAUUCACGUCCCUCUCUUCAAUGUCAUUCUUCUCUCCAUACCAUAACACUCUCCUCUAAUACUAAGUUCCUUUGACCCCAGAACAGCUGCAAUAUUGACCAACUACUCACCAGUACUCAUUCCCACCUCUAUCCUACCUCAUACCUAUCUACAUGCGUUACUAAAAACCGUCAGGCACUGAGCUAGUCAACUUAUUUCCCUCAAAUAAUGGGCAUUCAGAUUUUCACAAUCUCAAUUUUUAACUCUAUAACCUUCGUAUAAAAUGACAAGGCUUACCAUUCACAUACUACAUAAAAAGUCGUUCUCUUUUCUUCCUUCUUUCCACCUCUACGACUAUUGCUCACUAAUAUUCUCGUUAUUAAAUUCUAACCUUGAAAUUUACCUCUCCCACUACUCUCUAACUAAAUAAAUACCUCACAACUCCUCCUAACACACUUAGUUCUCCAGAAAAUCAUUCUGUCCUGAAUCUCCUUUCUGUCAUCGCCUAAAAUCUAAGAGUACAUACUGAAGAGGGAGGCUGGUAUUAUCCGACGAUUUAAUCAAUUUACAAUCAUUAUUUUAGACAACGCGUCCGCCAGAAACAGCAGUUGGUCUCGUAAAUCUCUUAUUCAACCGCUUUAAUUGCUAAUAUCAUUUCUAUUCUGUGUAAGUCGGGCCUUUUUUUUAUGUAAAUUUAUAUACAUUAUUUGUAUUAAAUGUAUAAAAUUUUUUUUUUUUA
Long non-coding RNA from Octopus bimaculoides (California two-spot octopus), 1412 nucleotides. RefSeq lists it as uncharacterized. The record is from RefSeq and is a predicted model, not a curated record. Lineage: Eukaryota; Metazoa; Mollusca; Cephalopoda; Octopoda; Octopodidae.